Molecule: long non-coding RNA, 1474 nt
Filed under: Ficedula albicollis (Collared flycatcher)
Lineage: Eukaryota; Metazoa; Chordata; Aves; Passeriformes; Muscicapidae
Description: lncRNA (ENSFALG00000025040.1)
Source: RNAcentral
CGCGCCUCCUCUUCUAAUUCUUGCCACAACGCCCGCACGCCCUGUUCCCCCCACCCCGGUGAAGGUGGGUUCCAACCCGAGGUUUGCGGGGGUGGCUCCAAUGUGCCCGCGUCCGCGCACUCACCUGAUUCAAACUCCCCCACAGUCUGUGUAGCCGCCCUGAUCUUUGAUACCCCACUGGGAACUUACGACCUUCGCGAGUUCUUUCAUGGUCUUCGCCGGUCCGGAGACAUCUCCCCCACUGCACUAGUCCAGCUGUGCAGUCGCUGGGUCCUGGUCAGGCGAACCCCGAAAUCUGGGCGAUUGUUUCCCGGGUUUCGGCACCACUUGUUGCGCAGAGACCUGGUUCAGUGAGCUCAGCACGGCGGCUUUCAGACUAAAGUCACUCGGUCCAUUUAGCUCCAGACACCAACGUGGUGGACAGCAACAUGGCGUUUAUUCAGGGGUAACAGGGGGUUUUAUGGCUUUAGGUAGCUUGUGUCAUUUCCUCUAGCUCAUGUCCGGCUAGGGGGGCUGCCAGGUACAGAGCUGGGGUCUGACCACAAGGGGGAAGGGGUCACUAGCUGCCCGUAACAACCCGAGGUCUUCCGCACGCACUGUCCCUAUCUCUCUACACUGGUCUGUACUGGUCCAUACUGGUCCAUACUGGUCUAUACUGGUCCAUACUGAUCCAUACUGGUCCAUAUUGGUCUAUACUGGUUUUUACUGGUCUAUACUGCUCAAUACUGGUUUGUACUGGUCCAUACUGGCCCAAAAUCUCCGAGCGGCCAGAAUUUCACAGAGGCCCCUGCUCGAACUUUCUGCUUCCCAAAUCCUCCUGAGUGACUCCAACCCAGCACUCUUUCCAUCCCAAGGCAGAUAAAAAUCAGCUGGGGCCGAGCAGGGCCCAUCUACAGCUCUGUGUUUAUUUUUAAUCGGGUGGCUCAAAACUGAGUCGGGCCCCACCAGUUCCUGGAAAUUUAAUCCACAAUCCCUUCCUUCUCUGGAGCUACCGAGCAGCAGCUCCCUGACCCCAGAGGCAGAGCCCUGUCCGUGCAGCUGGGACACAGCCUCGGGAUUUGCUGCCUCUGCCGCUGGAAAAGCUGCAAAACCCAAGGGAAACGCUCCAGCAUCGCCGCCGCCUCCUCAGUCACGGCCCCGAUUUUCAGCAGCUCCUCCUCGUCCUCGUCCCCCAGCUCGCCCCGGGCCAGCGCCGGCCCCGCCUCGGCUUUCCGGGCCACCCGCAGCUCCUCCAGGGCCGCCCGAGCCCGGCCCAGCUCGGCCUCGGCCGCGGCCAGCGCGGCGGGGACGCCGCUCGGGGUCCCCAAGGCUCUGGCCAGGACCAGCAGCGCCCCCAGGGCCCGGGGGCGAGCGGCGCUGGCCCGGGCCAGCUCGGGGGGAGGGGCGGGGGGGGGGGGGGGGGGGGGGGGGGGGGGGGGGGGGGGGGGGGGGGGGGGGGGGGGGGGGGGGGGGGGGGGGGGGGGGGGGGGGGGGG